This is a long non-coding RNA of Brassica napus (rape), 1542 nucleotides long. RefSeq lists it as uncharacterized. The transcript is spliced from 2 exons. The record is from RefSeq and is a predicted model, not a curated record. Lineage: Eukaryota; Viridiplantae; Streptophyta; Magnoliopsida; Brassicales; Brassicaceae.
CUUUGUGCAAGGAUUAGUCCCAAAACUAUUCAUCUAAAAUUCUUAAUUAUUUGGCAUUACUUGUGAAUAAAUCAAGAAAUCUUGGAAGCUGGAAGAUUCUUACUUUUUGCUUGUUUAUUUUUUAUUUUCAUUUUUUUAGUUCUUUGCUUCUUCUUGUAAUGUUGUCGUUAUAACUUUGGAUGUUUAUAACUAUCAACAUUGUGAUGCACACAGUUUCAUUAACAGAACAGGAUUCCACUCACUUUAGUUAACAUCGUUGUGUUUAAUUUAUGCCCCCUUUGCAUUGUCGGAAGCCUUUAUUCCUUUCCCAAAAUGUGUAAAAGAAAAAAAGAAAACUAGAAACCAAAUUAUGUGUGAUUUAAUUAGUUUUACAGUGACUAUGAGAAAACCACAAAACUUUUUCUAAAAUGAUGGAAACUCGAUUUACGACCUUGAACCACAUGUCGAAUUCUUUAUUCACCAGAAUAAACCAAUGGGCCACACGCUCUUGGUUCAUGAGGCGUGUUUACCUAACAAUCACCACUAAUAAUUGUGUCAAAACUUAUAAGAUCCAUUAGAGUAAAAAUUUGUAGCACUAUGUACGAUCUUGUUUGCGUUUGUUAAAGAUAAUGGGAAAGAAAAAGUCUAAAGUAACAAAAAAGUGGUCAUUGCAUGCUGAGCAAUGCAGAAUUUGGUCGCCGGAUAUCCCUUGGAAGAUCCUUUCUCCUUCACCUUCUCCACCAGGAGCUACACUUUUUUUUUAACAUUCCACCACGAGUUACACAUAUAUUGAUAUAUAUGCACGUAAAAAUGGGUGAUUUUAUAUAUAGAUUUGUACGUGUGUUUUGUAUAUAGACUUAUAGAUAACCGCAUAGCCCCAUACAAAAACAUAGCAUGCAUACAUGCAAUGUCUACAAGCAACACCAAAAGGAAUAUUCCAUUAGUUAUUUGAUUCGUUGAAAUAUAUCACACAAUUUUUACAAAAUAAAAUAAAAUAAAAAAGAUUUCACUUCAGCUAUGUUUAUUCUUGUUGAGUUGAUUGUACUAAUUACAGAAACAUACUUUAUAGUACAAAGAGCAUGUGUCAUCACUUUGCACUAACUCUUUUUCAAGUUUCACUUACUCGUUUCACAUGCACUUUCUAUAUAUAUAUAUAUAACCUUCUUCAUAGACCUUUCACAAUCGUCAUCUCUCACCUCCGAAAGCAUGCCUAACAACAAGAGCAAACACGAGGCAAUACCUCAAGACAAAGAUCUUCCGGGAUCACCGAUAGCUACUACAUGAAUAUGAACUCGGACGAGAGGAGAUGGGAGAUCGAGAAGUUGACCAAGGUCUUGGUCAACGGUAACCACACUAGUCCAUUAUGAAUCUCUCUCUCUGACCGGGCAAUUUCGGGACCUUUGGCAAUGUUUCUCUUGGUAUCUCUAUUUAUGUUAUUGUGUCUUGUCUAUCGGUUUGUAGUAAAUCUUCUUGUUAUCGUUUUGUGAACGGAACAUUUUUUCUUGUUUGCACUAUUUAUUUUUCUUGAGGAGCUGAUGACAAUAAUAUAUAAUCUCGCAACAA